AACCAAAGCCAGAUUAAUUUGUCU
This 24-nucleotide non-coding RNA is filed under the name Arabidopsis thaliana (thale cress). The record is from RNAcentral. Lineage: Eukaryota; Viridiplantae; Streptophyta; Magnoliopsida; Brassicales; Brassicaceae.